This 444-nucleotide ribosomal RNA is filed under the name uncultured bacterium. RNAcentral describes it as "SSU rRNA". It matches the Rfam family "Bacterial small subunit ribosomal RNA", at positions 26 to 518 of the family's 1533-position model. The record is from RNAcentral.
AGAGCGAACGCUGGCGGCAGGCCUAACACAUGCAAGUCGAACGGAUCCUUCGGGAUUAGUGGCGGACGGGUGAGUAACACGUGGGAACGUGCCUUUUGGUUCGGAAUAACUCAGGGAAACCUGAGCUAAUACCGGAUGUGCCCUUCGGGGGAAAGAUUUAUCGCCAUUAGAGCGGCCCGCGUCUGAUUAGCUUGUUGGUGAGGUAAAGGCUCACCAAGGCUACGAUCAGUAGCUGGUCUGAGAGGAUGAUCAGCCACACUGGGACUGAGACACGGCCCAGACUCCUACGGGAGGCAGCAGUGGGAAUCUUGCGCAAUGGGCGAAAGCCUGACGCAGCCAUGCCGCGUGAAUGAUGAAGGUCUUAGGAUUGUAAAAUUCUUUCACCGGGACGAUAAUGACGGUACCCGGAGAAGAACGCCCGGCUAACUUCGUGCCAGCAGCCGC